RNAcentral lists this microRNA precursor (205 nucleotides) under Oryza rufipogon (brownbeard rice). Its description in RNAcentral is "MIR812 microRNA precursor family". It matches the Rfam family "MIR812 microRNA precursor family". The record is from Rfam by way of RNAcentral. Lineage: Eukaryota; Viridiplantae; Streptophyta; Magnoliopsida; Poales; Poaceae.
AAAAAGACAAAUCUGGUUUUCGUGUCCAACAUUUGACUGUUCGUCUUAUUUGAAAAAAUUAUGAAAAAAAAAUAAAAAGAUAAGUCAUGCAUAAAGUAUUAAUCAUGUUUUAUCAUCUAACAACAAUGAAAAAACUAAUUAUAAAAAAAAUUUAUAUAAGACGGAGAGUCAAACGUUAGCACGGAAACCCAGGGUUUGUCUUUUU